UCCAGGAGCUGCGGCUGCGGGAUCCGGGCGCGGCCGUGGAGGAGCAGCUGGAGGGAGCCCGGCGCCGCCUCAGCCAACUGCAGCUGAAAAUCCUGCAGGAAUCGCAGGGAUCCGCGGAUCCGGGGUCCCCGCGGCUCCGGGCUGGAUUUUCCGGGAAUUCCCAGGACGGGGAGGAGGGGCCGGAACCCGAGCGGAUCCCAAAGCCCGGAGAGAGCAGCUCCAGGAAGGAGAAGGAGCAGAAGCAGAAUCCGAUCCUGAAAUACAUCGGGAAACCCCGGGGCGGCUCCCAGAGCGGUGAGUGACGCCGGAAUUCCCGGAAUUCCCGGAAUUCCCGGCAUUCUCCGGCCCCCAGGGGUUCCCAGGGAUUGGUUGGGGAGAGGGGGAAUUUCGGAGAAAUUUGGGGAAUUUUUGGGGGAUUUUUUGGGAAUUUUUUGGGGAAUUUUUUGGGAAUUUUUUGGGAUUUUUUAGGGGAUUUUGGGGGGAUUUUUUGGGAAUUUUUGGGGGAUUUUUUGGGAAUUUUUUAGGGGAUUUUUGGGGAUUUAAUUGGGAUUUUUUAGGGAAUUUUCCAGGGAU
RNAcentral lists this long non-coding RNA (573 nucleotides) under Cyanistes caeruleus (blue tit). RNAcentral's name for it is "lncRNA (ENSCCEG00000009393.1)". Lineage: Eukaryota; Metazoa; Chordata; Aves; Passeriformes; Paridae. The record is from RNAcentral.